UGGGGAAUAUUGGACAAUGGGCGCAAGCCUGAUCCAGCCAUGCCGCGUGAGUGAAGAAGGCCUUAGGGUUGUAAAGCUCUUUCAGCGGGGACGAUAAUGACGGUACCCGCAGAAGAAGCCCCGGCUAACUUCGUGCCAGCAGCCGCGGUAAUACGAAGGGGGCUAGCGUUGUUCGGAAUUACUGGGCGUAAAGCGCGCGUAGGCGGACAUCUAAGUCAGAGGUGAAAUCCCAGGGCUCAACCCUGGAACUGCCUUUGAUACUGAAUGUCUGGAGUUCGGGAGAGGUGAGUGGAAUUCCGAGUGUAGAGGUGAAAUUCGUAGAUAUUCGGAGGAACACCAGAAGCGAAGGCGGCUCACUGGCCCGAUACUGACGCUGAGGCGCGAAAGCGUGGGGAGCAAA
RNAcentral lists this ribosomal RNA (400 nucleotides) under uncultured bacterium. RNAcentral's name for it is "bacterial SSU rRNA". It matches the Rfam family "Bacterial small subunit ribosomal RNA", at positions 355 to 772 of the family's 1533-position model. The record is from RNAcentral.